RNAcentral lists this long non-coding RNA (589 nucleotides) under Medicago truncatula (barrel medic). Its description in RNAcentral is "long non-coding RNA (MTRU_LNC006583)". Lineage: Eukaryota; Viridiplantae; Streptophyta; Magnoliopsida; Fabales; Fabaceae. The record is from RNAcentral.
GCCGAUCCAACAUUAUUAAUGUGUCUGGUUUCAUUAGCUUGACUGAGUGGGAUAUAAUCUACCUGACGAAAGACAGGCAACCUUUCUUGAUCAUCUAUCACAAUUCCAAUUUUACAAUUAGUAUGACAUGUUAGGUAAGAUCUUGCCUGAAUUAAAUAUAAAAUGACGUUUUAACUUUGCUGCAUUAUUAGCGCAUAAUUUCGUUACAGUAUCAUCCAAUCAUGCAUUGCUAUGUCACUAAGUUUGAUUCUUACAACAAUCAUCUAAAAAAGUCAUCCUCUUUUAGUGACAUGGAAAUGCAUGAUUGAGUGAUAGAAGGGAAACCUGUAACCAAUUUAUUUUACAUCGACAGUACAUUAAAAUAAAAUAGAAGAAAUUUACCUUUGAGUGGUAGAGAACAGUUAGAACCUACGAGUUGAGUUUUAAUCUUCUGAGAAACAGGGCAUUGCAGCUCAAGAAAAGAGUGGAGAUCAGAAUUUGCUUCGCUAUUGAAUGCUAUAAACAUUACAAUGAGUGACAAUGUUAAAAUAGAUACACAGAAAAAGUGAACGAAGAAUAAAAGCAUAAAAAGGUUAUUCAAAAUGUUCUC